AGGACGAACGCUGGCGGCGUGCUUAACACAUGCAAGUCGAACGAGAAUCUACUGAAAGAGUUUUCGGACAAUGGAAGUAGAGGAAAGUGGCGGACGGGUGAGUAACACGUGAGCAACCUGCCUUCAGAGGGGGAUAACGGCUGGAAACGGUCGCUAAUACCGCAUAAGCCCACGGGUCGGCAUCGACCAGAGGGAAAAGGAGCAAUCCGCUUUGAGAUGGCCUCGCGUCCGAUUAGCUAGUUGGUGAGGUAAUGGCCCACCAAGGCGACGAUCGGUAGCCGGACUGAGAGGUUGAACGGCCACAUUGGGACUGAGACACGGCCCAGACUCCUACGGGAGGCAGCAGUGGGGAAUAUUGCACAAUGGGGGAAACCCUGAUGCAGCGACGCCGCGUGGAGGAAGAAGGUCUUCGGAUUGUAAACUCCUGUUGUUGAGGAAGAUAAUGACGGUACUCAACAAGGAAGUGACGGCUAACUACGUG
This 481-nucleotide ribosomal RNA is filed under the name uncultured bacterium. RNAcentral's name for it is "bacterial SSU rRNA". It matches the Rfam family "Bacterial small subunit ribosomal RNA", at positions 26 to 507 of the family's 1533-position model. The record is from RNAcentral.